GCCCGUGUAGCUCAGUGGUAGAGCACACCCUUGGUAAGGGUGAGGUCAUCAGUUCAAUCCUGAUCACGGGCU
RNAcentral lists this transfer RNA (72 nucleotides) under Candidatus Sericytochromatia bacterium. RNAcentral describes it as "tRNA-Thr". It matches the Rfam family "tRNA". Rfam says of the family: Transfer RNA (tRNA) molecules are approximately 80 nucleotides in length. Their secondary structure includes four short double-helical elements and three loops (D, anti-codon, and T loops). Further hydrogen bonds mediate the characteristic L-shaped molecular structure. tRNAs have two regions of fundamental functional importance: the anti-codon, which is responsible for specific mRNA codon recognition, and the 3' end, to which the tRNAs corresponding amino acid is attached (by aminoacyl-tRNA synthetases). tRNAs cope with the degeneracy of the genetic code in two manners: having more than one tRNA (with a specific anti-codon) for a particular amino acid; and 'wobble' base-pairing, i.e. permitting non-standard base-pairing at the 3rd anti-codon position. RNAcentral also lists the same sequence under 3 other names. The record is from RNAcentral. Lineage: Bacteria; Bacillati; Candidatus Sericytochromatia.